GGCAAAGGACUUUCAAGAUCCU
This 22-nucleotide non-coding RNA is filed under the name Arabidopsis thaliana (thale cress). The record is from RNAcentral. Lineage: Eukaryota; Viridiplantae; Streptophyta; Magnoliopsida; Brassicales; Brassicaceae.